Molecule: long non-coding RNA, 548 nt
Filed under: Phoenix dactylifera (date palm)
Lineage: Eukaryota; Viridiplantae; Streptophyta; Magnoliopsida; Arecales; Arecaceae
Description: long non-coding RNA (PDAC_LNC021958)
Source: RNAcentral
UAAUCAUGUCCUGAAAAUUUUUUCCUAAUUUCUAUCCCUCCCUGCCUCCAUAUAUUUUAUUUUUUCGAGUCCCUGUUGUGUCAGGUUUUUUCGGGGCACUACAUUUGAUUGUGGUUGACACAUCCCGAGUGCUGCCUCUUCCCCUUGUCUUCAUCUAAGCUCACCUAGUAUGCCCCCUAAGGGGUUCCUCCGCCCUCUCGUUCCUCCACUGCACUCCCUCCUGUCAAAAUGCUUUUUCCUCUCUUGUGCCACACUGCCUGAUUAUUGAUCCCAACUUCUCUUUUAUUACAGGCAGCAACAAUAACCAAUGGUGGAGGUAAUUUUCCUUUGUGCCAUAUACCUAUGCUUAGUAAUCCUGCCUUGGCUUAGGCUCUUCUUGUGCUUAUUUGUCUAUUUGAGAAGAGACAAUGUUUGCUCGCCUUCCAAAAUAAUAUCAUGUAAGGGUGCGAUCUGAUCAAGGCAGGUUGGGCUAGCUCCCAACCUCAACUUGAACCUUAAGGGGAUUGAGUCUAAAUUUUUAACCAAAAUCCUUGGUGAAUCAGUUAUGU